GAUCUCGGGAUGCAGGGUCCUCUAAACAUGGAUCCGGGGAUGGGUUGGAAUUUUUGUGCAACUUUUCGGUCGGCGAGGGCACAAAAGAGAUACAGCGGUUGUACAUUGCUUAAUGGGUUCGUUCAGGUGUCCUUGCGGCAAAUGCGUGCAGAUGCCGACGUUAGAAGAAUGCCUUUGUUGCCGAAUGAGACGUUACUGACGCAGCGCAGCGGUUGCAUUUCAAGAAAUCAGUACAUUGAAAUACUGUGGCUGGACACUGAGGUGCUCCAGGUGUCCUACUGCUACGUGAGAGAAAGCGACGACUACGCCCUUAUCAGGAACAGCCAAGUGAACAAGUGAGUUCAUUCACGUGUACCUUCUGUUUGUUAUCAGUAAAGUUACAUAUCAUAAUUUUACGCUGCGCAUGGUAGAUGCAGGAAGUUUUGGGGACGUUGCUUACAAACAGUUUAUCAGGUGGCUCUGGGGAACAUUAGGAAAGCACGGCUGAAAGGCUUCAAAGCAUGUGCUGUACACGUCAUAAGGGAAAACUUUCCUUCUGAAGCAUACAAAUGUUCUUGCUUUUGACGUGUGAAGCAGUAGGUGCUGUCUUUUUUUUUUUUUGAUUGCGUGUUAGCGCCGCGAAGCAACUGUGGCAAUGAGCGGCGUACAGAUGUGGACAGAUAGAGAGAGGACAGCAGGAAGGAGUGGGGGGACAGGGGGAUUAUGUAGGUGCUGUCUGACCAUGUGUAUGUUUACUCGCUUUAACUGAGGUGAAGCUCUCACUUUUCUUUCGGGUGCUUGUGGGCAGCAUUGAAUGCCUGCCAUCUUGACAGAGGUACGCUGGAUGGUUUGGCCCUGAGUACUGCAAGAUCACAGCAGUAUACCCCUUUCAUGCACAAUAGGUCUGUCAUAUACCGUCCUGGAUUAACCAGACAGCCAUUACACAGAAAAAUACAGUCUACAAACAUCAAAGCUUGUAAAUAUUGCUUUAUUGAUCACGGUGUUUAUGAAUGAAUAUAUGAGUGAUAGCAGCAAACAAACAAGGAAGGGAGGAGAACAUCCCCCGUACUUUGUCCAUAUCGAUUUGCAAGUGCUUCACCUCCCACCAACCAGUAAAAAAUGUAUGCAUGCGUUUUUUUUUUCAGUGCACAGGUGUUUGCUACAAACACGCUCCAGUGCAUAAGCUGUAAGAGAACAUAGGCUAUUAUCUUGCCUAUCAAACAUCACAUGAGUUCAUGACUUCAUCAGUAUAAAAAGGGCAUCAGGUGGGGACAUGCCAAUGUCUUCAACAAAGUCUUCUCUUCAGAGGCAUCCCUAUCAUUGACUCCGCAAGCAUGCGAAGAAAAAUUUUAGACCUCUUCUGUGCACAUCCAUCUUUGUAACGCUUUCUCUAUUUCUCGUUAUAAAUUUCGUUAUGUUUCUCUCAUACCCAGUCCAAUUGCAGUCAUUGGUGCGGGCUCAGGGCUUUUGCAGACCGUUACCAUUUCACUGUAGCGCACAUCUUUCCAAGUUCAAUCAGGAGAUGAUCUACAUCCUCUGCCAACAAAAGAUAAUAUCGUCAUGGCUAAGUGUCUUCUCUAUACUCUUUAUAUCAAAACAUGGUCCCUCAUGGCUGUCAUGGAUGUUGAUAGCGUGCCGGGUCAAACCAAGACAAAUUAUCUCGAAGUUAGUAUACACUGUUUCCUGAAUGACAGAUUUAGAUUGUGGCGAACAGCUAGUGUGAAAAUGGAAUGGCACACCCAGCUGAUCAUCACAACAGCGGAAAGACGAACAUGAAAGGGAAUCCCAUCCAGCACAUCCAAAGGACGCAGAAAUCGCGAGGAAGUCGCAUUUCUUCGGAUAUCCCGCAGGUCAACGGUAAGACAAGUUUGCGUACUUCUUGUUACCGAAGGAAGUAAUGCAGGUUUAUCGUGUGAAUUGUAUUACAUACAACAUUUACGAGUCACUCUUUACGUUAGAGGCGUUUCAUAGUGCAGUGCGUUGCCGUAACCUGUGCGUUUUGGAUAUGCCGCAAAUUAAAUUAUAUGUGUCGUUAUGCUAUAGUUGCCCCUCAUGCAUGUCGCAGCCGCUCACUGUGAUCUACGAACGUUUGUGGCAAGUGUGUUUUGGUGUUCAAGUACGAAAUCAACAUCGGUUGUCCAUUCAUAACAGUGAUUUUCGUUCAGAGUUACGCAUCAUCAAUAAAUUUUUUUAUUUUUCAGUGCUCCUGCAGCCCUCGGCAACAACGUCACGCCUGGCCCAGCUGUUUUCGAAAACUGUACACCUUUACAUUGGGUGUACUACACUGGCUUAAUUUUGAACUGCUCUUCGGUGUCAAAGCACCUAAAGCUUCAGUGAAGCCUGUUACAAGACGUGAAAAGGAAUAUACUGUAACUUUUUCUGAACAGUUCGAGAGGACAAAUAAACUUGCUUUAUCAACCGUCAUCGCUUUUUGUUUCUCUGCUUUGGAACAACACUUGCGUUACUCUACAGCAAGCGCGCAAGAAAAACAGACGAAGCUGGGAUUGGGGGGAGGGGGUACGAGAAGAGAGAGACGAAAAAUCCGAGGAGAGAACUGGAAGGAGGUUGAGAAAGGAGGUCACUGUGCGAAUGCGCAAUUGACCCUACCUUAUUUCCCGUGCUGCUGUGAGUGGCUCCUGGAGAUCACGUGGUUUGGGCGCCCGCCAUUUUCCCUGAAUCAUUGCGGAUAUGGGAGCUUCCGGCGGAUGUAGUAGCCGCGCCACGUAUUCUUAGUUUCGCUUCUGUCUUGCACGCACUCAUAUCCUGCAGUUAGGAAACCUCUUAUUGACGUGCGUUUGAAGGGUGAACCUGCUUACGAGUUUCCCGUUGCAGCCAUGCAAUAGUAAAACGAGAGAGAUAAGAUCUCUCCCACCGGAAGUAUUAGGGAUAUCACUAAAUAUAACGCGCAUGUCCGAUCACUACCACUUUCAUUUUUUAGACCAGUGCAGUGUUUCAGUGCUGCGUUGCCGUAACUUGUCGCAGGUGUCACAUGACUUGACUAACGUGAUAACGCAAAAGA
This is a long non-coding RNA of Ornithodoros turicata, 2998 nucleotides long. RefSeq lists it as uncharacterized. Lineage: Eukaryota; Metazoa; Arthropoda; Arachnida; Ixodida; Argasidae. The transcript has 3 exons. The record is from RefSeq and is a predicted model, not a curated record.